GAGUUUGAUCUUGGCUCAGAUUGAACGCUGGCGGCAUGCCUUACACAUGCAAGUCGAACGGCAGCACGGGAGCUUGCUCCUGGUGGCGAGUGGCGAACGGGUGAGUAAUGCAUCGGAACGUAUCCUGGAGUGGGGGGAUAACGUAGCGAAAGUUACGCUAAUACCGCAUAUUCUGUGAGCAGGAAAGCGGGGGACCUUCGGGCCUCGCGCUCUUGGAGCGGCCGAUGUCGGAUUAGCUAGUUGGUGAGGUAAAGGCUCACCAAGGCGACGAUCCGUAGCAGGUCUGAGAGGAUGAUCUGCCACACUGGAACUGAGACACGGUCCAGACUCCUACGGGAGGCGAGCAGUGGGAAUUUUGGACAAUGGGGGCAACCCUGAUCCAGCCAUGCCGCGUGAGUGAAGAAGGCCU
This 409-nucleotide ribosomal RNA is filed under the name bacterium enrichment culture clone ALO1_GLFRUDD03HJH7Q. RNAcentral's name for it is "bacterial SSU rRNA". It matches the Rfam family "Bacterial small subunit ribosomal RNA", at positions 9 to 417 of the family's 1533-position model. The record is from RNAcentral.